RNAcentral lists this ribosomal RNA (226 nucleotides) under uncultured bacterium. RNAcentral's name for it is "partial 16S ribosomal RNA". It matches the Rfam family "Bacterial small subunit ribosomal RNA", at positions 538 to 762 of the family's 1533-position model. The record is from RNAcentral.
GCGUUGUCCGGAUUCAUUGGGCGUAAAGAGCUCGUAGGCGGCUUGUCAAGUCGGGUGUGAAACCUCCAGGCUCAACCUGGAGACGCCACUCGAGACUGUCAUGGCUAGAGUCCGGUAGGGGAUCACGGAAUUCCUGGUGUAGCGGUGAAAUGCGCAGAUAUCAGGAGGAACACCGAUGGCGAAGGCAGUGAUCUGGGCCGGUACUGACGCUGAGGAGCGAAAGCGU